This 28-nucleotide non-coding RNA is filed under the name Mus musculus (house mouse). The record is from RNAcentral. Lineage: Eukaryota; Metazoa; Chordata; Mammalia; Rodentia; Muridae.
UACGGCCAUACACCCUGAACGCGCCCGA